RNAcentral lists this microRNA precursor (95 nucleotides) under Myotis lucifugus (little brown bat). RNAcentral describes it as "miRNA (ENSMLUG00000026372.1)". Lineage: Eukaryota; Metazoa; Chordata; Mammalia; Chiroptera; Vespertilionidae. The record is from RNAcentral.
CUUUUUUAAGUGUAUAUAAAUACCUUUGUGUGUGUGUAUGUGUGUGUGUGUAAAUACACACACACACUCACACACACACACAUAUUUGCAAAAAA